RNAcentral lists this long non-coding RNA (244 nucleotides) under Phaseolus vulgaris (common bean). RNAcentral describes it as "long non-coding RNA (PVUL_LNC001535)". Lineage: Eukaryota; Viridiplantae; Streptophyta; Magnoliopsida; Fabales; Fabaceae. The record is from RNAcentral.
UCGUACUGUUGAAGUUUUCCAGUUGUUGUGGGGCUAAGGCCUUUCCCAAUGUCUUGACUACCGCAUGGAGGGCCUUGCUGGAUAGACUACCAACUAGAGAAUGCUUGAGUAGGAGAGGAGUGACGCUGGAUUCCACCCUUUGUGUGCUUUGCCAAAUCAAGGUCGAAUCUUGUCAACACCUCUUUAUGGAGUGUGAUGUGGUUGUGCGGGUGUGGGAGUUAUGUUAUAGGUGGAUUGGCAUCUU